This 299-nucleotide unclassified non-coding RNA is filed under the name uncultured fungus. RNAcentral's name for it is "sequence contains 5.8S rRNA gene". The stretch from base 1 to 53 matches the Rfam family "5.8S ribosomal RNA", at positions 102 to 154 of the family's 154-position model. The record is from RNAcentral. Lineage: Eukaryota; Fungi.
GAACGCACCUUGCGCUCCUUGGUAUUCCGAGGAGCAUGCCUGUUUGAGUGUCAUUUAAUUCUCAACCUUAUUAGCUUUUGUUGAUAAUGGCUUGGAUGUGGGGGUUUUCUUUUGCUGGCUUUCUUCGGAUGUCAGCUCCCCUUAAAUGUAUUAGCCGGUGCCCUGCGUGGACUAUCCGUUGGUGUGAUAAUUAUCUACGCUAUUGACGUGAGGCAGUUCAGCUUCUAACAGUCCAUUAACUUGGACAGUUUUUCAUUAAUGUGACCUCAAAUCAGGUAGGACUACCCGCUGAACUUAAG